This is a long non-coding RNA of Helianthus annuus (common sunflower), 1387 nucleotides long. RefSeq lists it as uncharacterized. Lineage: Eukaryota; Viridiplantae; Streptophyta; Magnoliopsida; Asterales; Asteraceae. The record is from RefSeq and is a predicted model, not a curated record. The transcript has 3 exons.
GACGAAAAAAAUGUGGUUUCGUUUGUUUUUUCGACCCGCAUUUUAGGAGUUCAAAAGUUUUUUUUAUGUAUUUAUUCUCUUCUAUACAUUUAAUUCCUUAUUAUUAUUUUUGUGUGAGUUGUGCAGAAUUCUUGUAGGUUGAUGCUCAUAUUUAUUUGUGGAAAUGAAAUGCAAGAAUUGUGAUAUCAGACGUUGAUGGGACAAUUACAAAGCCGAAUGUUCUUGUCAGGUCAUGCCCUUGGUAGGAAUUGGUAUCCGGGGUACCUCAACUUUUCUUUGCUAUAAAGGUAUGUGUUCUCGUACAUAAUUUUCGGUUUUUAUAUAUGUUAUAGCAUGUAAUAGUUCCGCCGAACGCCCGGGUUCCCACUAUUUCAAAUAGUUUAGCUGUUUUACGAAAUCAGUAUUAAAAAGAUUACAUAAAAUCGACCAUGCAACGUGUGCCAAAAAAAACAUAAUUACCCGCGGCAACGCGCAGGCAUUCCCACUAUAUAAUAUAAUGUAAAUUUUUGGCCGCUAAAAACGGCUCGAUAGAUAGAAUAUGCUGGGAGAAAAGAAGAUCGAUGGGUUGGGCUGGGCUUGAUUUUUAGGUCAGGGGGAUAUUUAAACCAUGUCCUUAUCCUCAAAUCGGAACAAUCAUUCUCAAAUCUCAUUGUCGAUGAAUAAGCAUUCCAGCUUCUGCCGAUUAAUUAGACCCAUGGUACCUUCAACUUUUAUGGUGAGCUGUUAUAUAUUCAUCUAUCUUCUGGAUUAAACAAUACUUAUCUUUAUUUUUGCACACCACUUGUUUGAUUUUGUAUCUUUCUUCAUCUUCAUAUUUUAUUACAAAAGAUGAAUAUAGUGACAUACAUGAAGAGUUUACAGUAACCGUGGGUAUGAUUUUAACGCAGCCAUUAUUUCUAACAAGAUGUUUGCACUACAAGAUAAAAGAGAAGCACAAGAGAAGGGUACAAGUAUCGGUAUCUAUAAGUAGAAAAUAGAAAAUGGAGCAGAUAAUCGACAACGUAUGUGUUUUGGUCGAAACUGGGAUACAGAAACAAGGUAUAACAACAUUUACACAAGGGAUGGUUCUGAACCACCCCCGAUUCCAUAUGAGCUUACCUCAUUGGCUGAAACCGCAAUUCAAGAUGCUCAAGCCCAUCUGGACGAUGAUGAACUUCCUUCCAUGUGCCCCCCGAAUACCUGUUCUGUCAGUUUCUAUCCGAUCGAUGGUUGACUUGGCCUUCAUCAGUGGAUUGGACUAAGAUGGCAUUGGGUUCAGGUGUUAGAUGUCCAGCUUGAUGGAGGUGUAAGUAUGGGCUCCAGAAUGUGAUGCAUCAUUGCAUUGGGCUAGAGAUGGAUCACCUUGUAUAUGGCAUGGGCCGAUUGAUUCUUAAAACUCUAAUAUGCA